CCUACGGGUGGCAGCAGUGGGGGAUAUUGCACAAUGGGGGGAACCCUGAUGCAGCGACGCCGCGUGGGUGAAGAAGCGCCUCGGCGCGUAAAGCCCUGUCAGCCGGGAAGAAAAUGACGGUACUUGAAGAAGAAGCCCCGGCUAACUACGUGCCCGCAGCCGCGGGAAAACGUAGGGGGCAGGCGUUAUCCGGAUUUACUGGGUGUAAAGGGGGCGCAGGCGGGGAUGCAAGCCCGGAGUGAAAGCCCGGGGCCCAACCCCGGGACUGCUCUUGGAACUGCGUGGCUGGAGUGCAGGAGGGGCAGGCGGAAUGCCCGGUGUAGCGGUGAAAUGCGUAGAUAUCGGGAGGAACACCGGUGGCGAAGGCGGCCUGCUGGACUGCAACUGACGUUGAGGCCCGAAAGCGUGGGGAGCGAACAGGAUUAGAUACCCGAGUAGUC
Molecule: ribosomal RNA, 440 nt
Filed under: uncultured bacterium
Lineage: Bacteria
Description: partial 16S ribosomal RNA
Rfam family: Bacterial small subunit ribosomal RNA
Source: RNAcentral